AGGAAGUAGGAGGGCCAAUGUGCAAAUGUAAGAUGUGAUCGAGGGGAUCAAAUCCCUCUCAAUUCCCAAAAUCUGGCCUGGCAUCUCCAUCUCUUCUCUCCCCCGCCUCCUUCUCCACCUCCGGCCGCCGUCGUGGCCAGGCCGGCGUGGCUGCGCGCCACCACGCCAUCACCAACAUCCACCAGACACCACCACAUCCAUCCACCAGCGCCAUCAGCAACUCCCCGCACCUCCACCAACGCCGCCACCCACCAGUGUUGCCAGCCACCAGCGCCCAUCUCGCGCGCCCCUUCGGACACGGCCGCGGCGGUGUCUAGCUGCCCGCACGACCCAGCACCAGCACCUCCGCACUCCAUCCAUCCAUUCGCUGCACUUCAACCCAUCCACCAUCACUACCACGAGCCCCUUGCUGUACCUCACACCACCAAUUUGAAUCUCUUCUUUGAAAUCUUGCCGUUGUUCUUCCAAAUCUUGCUGCUAUUCAUCGUUGCUACUGCCCACAGUUCUGUUCUUCUCUCCAACCUUCGUCUCCUCAAACCCAUGCUCCUACUCCUUCCCUCUUUCUCUCCCUGCCGCUCCACUGUUGCUCCUCUUCUCUCUCAACACUUGUUGCUGCUGAUGCCCGCAACCUCAUGUUGCUGCUCCUUCCACACCCAAGUUGCUGCUCUUCUCUCAAACCCACGUUGCUGCUCCAUCUCUCUACUUCCUUUGCUCCCCUUCUUCUUCUCUGAACCCAAACUGCUGCCGCAUCUCUUCUCUCUUUAAUUCUUGCAAAUUUCUGUAAAGGUGAACCUUGUGUACUGUUCUGAACACCCAAUUUGUGCUUAUUUUAUGUAUGUAUUAGUGUCUCUAAUAUAUGUGAAAUUGUGAGUUGCCGAGCGGAUCAUUUUCGAGUAGACUUGAACUGUCAUAUAUUGUGAGUCAUAUUUUUGUAAAUUCGUGAUUGUGGUUAAUUCUAGUAACCGUGGUGUUACAUAUUUGUGGAUCGCAUGUACAUGUUUUAAUCUAUGAAUUCCAUUGCUAUAGACUCGAAUGCACCGAUACCUCAGGCAACUAGCGAAUCAGUAUCAGAUACCGUAUCUGAUACCGAUACUCCUCCGAUACAUCCCCGAUAUGUAUCCAAGGAGUAUCCAUGAAUACACGAUUUAAAACAAUUCAGAUACUUGAAGGAUACUUUUUCAGUUCGUUUUGGAUACGACCCAGCCCAUCUAAGAGACCACUCAGCCCAGUUAAGAGGCAGACAACAACCCUAGUACCCCAAUGCCCCUUCCUUUCUCUCCCAGUUUUAUUUCCUCCCUCCCAAGCUCACACCAGGCGGUUGCUGGUGUUUGCGUACGUAGCAGCUACUCACCCAGGGCCGGCGUCAGCGGCGGCUAGCCGACGACGAGCUGCUACUCCUCACCAACGCCUCCUAUCACGCAGCAAGCAGAUGGCUCCUCCUGCUGAACCUCCUACUGUACCUACAAAUCUAAGGGCACCAUUGUGGAGCCAUGUUCAAAUCAUAGAGAAAUCACUUGGAGGGGUGCAACACUAAAUGGAAAUGCGACCACUGUGGUCAUGAAGCUUUGAGUAGCUACUCUAGAGUUUCUGCACAUUUGCUAAACAAGACAGGGAACCAUGGAAUCCAUGCAUGUAAAAAGGUCAUGGUUGACAUUCUGAAUCCCUUUUUUUGAAAAAUAAAUAAAUAGUAAAACGUAUCAGUAUUGGCACUUUUUCAAAAUGACGAAUUUACGUAUCCGUAUUGGCCCGAUACUGGUACCCAUAUCCAUAUCGAUGCAUUCGAGGCUAUAGAACUCAAUGCUGAUCUACAUCAUCUCAAAUGUCCGCUUGUAAAAUCCUGUACUAUAAUGUUUCUGCCACUUAUCCUUUAGGCUUGCCUGUGUUAGUAUUUUAAUUUCUUAAGAAAACGAAAAUACCAAAAAGACGAUGAUUGAAAUCUCAACCUUCCUAUGUUUGUUUGUUUUUCUUUGUCGAGAAUUUUCCAAAAUGAUAGUUUAGGUUUAUUUCCCUGUAAUCAUCACUUGAAUUGUGUUAACUAGAUUUAGCCGAGUAUAGUUGAUGUUGCCUAGUCCUUGUGGAGAACUUCAACAACCCACAGUUUGGGCGUAAACCUCAUUGUAUUUACAACGGAUCAGUUUGGCACCAUUGCUGGGGAUUAGCAUCAAGCGAUUGUGUUAGGCUAUAUAUAGAUCAGGUUUUUCUUGUUUUAUUUUUGUGGCAUUUAUAUGUGAUAUAUAUCUAACCCCUAACCACUGUUCUAGUUAUUUUCUCUUUCUUUUCUUGUUUGUUUUGUAGGUUGGAUUGUCUUCUUGGAAAUGGCAUUCUACUCAGAUCAUCAUUUUUAUGUGAGAAAUAGCACGGAAAGUGUGCAAGACAUGAUAAGUAAGAUUUCCCAUCAAUUAGUCAUGAUACUUAUCUUAGAGGCCAUCCUUAUGUUGAUCCUACAUGCCAUAUUUGUGGAUUUUAGGCCAUUCACCCGCUAAAUGUCAGUGUGGUUACUCUCACCCUCCAGGUUGUUUUGGCAUGAGCUUCACUCAAGAGCAUAGCUCAUACCAAAACAAUUACUCACAUGGAUGGUCUGAAAACCUGAAUAUGUCAUAUAGGAGCAACAACCCUGAGAUCUCAUCAUUUGCCUCUAGUUAUCCAAUGUAGGGAUUUAGGUAUGAAGAGGAGAGCAACAAUUAUGCACCACAACAAUUUUAUUCAGCUCCUAUUCAUGUACCUCAACACCUAGAGAUAUGUCUGCUGGAGUUAAAUGGUCCUCCAUUUGGUCAACAAAUAACUCUAGCACUAAAUGACUCGUUAGAGCAAUCUCAUGUGCAUGUGCCCACACAAGAUGAGUUCGAUGAGAUAGAAAAGAUCACACAUUUGAGUCUCGAGUUCACUUGGAGUGCUGAGGAUGAUCCUAUUAGGAAGGUUAUAGUAGAGAAAAUGAAGAAGAUUAAGAGUGGAAAAGAGCUAGUGGAAGAAGUAAGGAAGAUAGAGAAGAAUAUGAAUGUUGGAAGUACAAUCUCAUCACUACUUGAGCUGAGUGUUUUCUGUGAUUCCCCUUGAUACAAGUGAGGUUCCAACACCGUCACAUCCAGCUGAGCAAGAUAGCAAGAUCCCAGAGGAAGAAAGACCUCAGAUUGAAGAAUAAAUACUCGAAGACAAGGAACAAGAUGAUCCAGAGCUAGAAUUCCCAAGUGAUCAAGAUGAAGACAAAAGAUCUACUACUCUUGAAGAAGUAAAGAAGUUGUUGUAGUUGAAGAUGAAGAAUUAGAGAUUGCUUAUCGUCAUUCAAGAGUGUGAUAUUGCAGGUUUAUCUAAUCCUCUUGAUGACAUGCGUCCGUAUAAUUUCUUUGCUACUACCUUGCAUUACAUGAUACCAUCACUUACGAUCGAUUUGAAAACUCAUUUGCUUGCAUAUGAUGAUACAUACACUAUUGGUGGCAUUGCUCUCAUUUAUUAUGAUGACACUUAUUCUCCUCAUGCUAGACUUGUGCUUAAUGAUAAAUAUCAUCCUCAUUUA
This is a long non-coding RNA of Triticum urartu, 3511 nucleotides long. RefSeq lists it as uncharacterized. The record is from RefSeq and is a predicted model, not a curated record. Lineage: Eukaryota; Viridiplantae; Streptophyta; Magnoliopsida; Poales; Poaceae.